CGGGGGUCAACGUGCCUGAUCAGGGCCGUCGUAGACUGUUGACUAGUCCCCGUGUCUCGUAGGGACGGUCUGACGGUAACGCCGCGUGGCGGUCGUUGUCAGAGUGAGGCGUGGCCUCGGGAUUCGCAGUUUGGCGGAUAUCCCCCCGCUAAAUAUAGCAGGAAGCAGCGUCCGGUAGACGCGGCUGUCGGUAUUUUGUUGAACGAUAUUGCGUUGAACAAAGUACGCAGUUUGCAAGAUGAAAGGGGGUUCCGCCGAAGAUGUGUAGCGGAAGACACCCCGCUUGCAGGAUGGCUAUGGGGAAGUUCCGCUGUCGGGGUUCCGCUCAGCGGAGACUUCCUCAGAUGGAAUAGGACAAGGGAGAAGUUCUGCUGGCGGGGUUUCGCUCAGCGGAGACUUCAUCACUUGCAAGAGGACAAGGGAGAAGUUCCGCUGGCGGGGUUUCGCCCAGCGGAGACUUCGUCACUUGGAAGAGGACAAGGGAGAAGUUCCGCUGGCGGGGUUUCGCUCAGCGGAGACUUCAUCACUUGGAGGAUGACAAGGGAGAAGUUCCGCUGGCGGGGUUUCGCCCAGCGGAGACUUCGUCACUUGGAGGAGGACCAGGGAGAAGUUCCGCUGGCGGGGUUUCGCCCAGCGGAGACUUCGUCACUUGGAGGAUGACAAGGGAGAAGUUUCCGCUGGCGGGGUUUCGCCCAGCGGAGACUUCGUCACUUGGAGGAGGACCAGGGAGAAGUUCCGCUGGCGGGGUUUCGUCCAGCGGAGACUUCGUCACUUGGAGGAUGACAAGGGAGAAGUUUCCGCUGGCGGGGUUUCGCCCAGCGGAGACUUCGUCACUUGGAGGAUGACAAGGAAGAAGUUUCCGCUGGCGGGGUUUCGCUCAGGGGAGACUCGGACGGUUGGUGUAGUUAUCGCAGUGGUUACUUCCACCAGACGCUUCGUCUAGUGGUAGUAGACACGUGUCCAACCCGCAGGGGGUUAGCGUGCGGAGGCCUAUCCCCUAAGCCUGGCCGUCUGCUUACCAUAAAUGAUAGUAAUUACGGGUUUCGAAAACGAAGCGACGCCUCGGUUAAUCCGGGUAGUAAGUGGAGGUCUGUGACACGUGUACGGCUGUCGAUUGAUGUCGUUUUGCAGCGGACGGCGGAGGAUGCGC
This 1150-nucleotide long non-coding RNA is filed under the name Rosa chinensis. Its description in RNAcentral is "sRNA RchiOBHm_Chr2g0112601". Lineage: Eukaryota; Viridiplantae; Streptophyta; Magnoliopsida; Rosales; Rosaceae. The record is from RNAcentral.